This 1226-nucleotide long non-coding RNA is filed under the name Equus caballus (horse). RNAcentral's name for it is "lncRNA (ENSECAG00000058862.1)". The record is from RNAcentral. Lineage: Eukaryota; Metazoa; Chordata; Mammalia; Perissodactyla; Equidae.
CUUUGUUCUUGGGUACGUGGAGACAUCCUUUCCAGUCCCCUUGGGUUAGGGUCACAUGACAGCUGACCAAUGGAAUGUGAUCAGAAGUGAUGUGUCACUUCCUUUCUGAGGGAGCAAAAAGCCUCUGCAAGAUUUUCCAGGCUUCAUCUUCCCCUUUGUGGAGGAGGCCUGGCUUUGAGAGGGUGGAGUCCCAAGACGGAAGCCGCCUGGAUCCCUGAGUCACCGUGCGUCAUCCGUGGAGGACGGCAGCCCCGGAGACUCGCCUGGACCCGGAGCAGGCUUUGCCUGAGCAAGAAAUAAACUUCUGUGGUGUCCAGCCAGUAGAUCUUCUCGUCAUUGCCGUUUGCUCAUUCACAGCAGCAUAACCUAUCCUGACUGGUACAACCUAUCCAUGGAUGUUUCCAGAAAAUAACCAGUUUGGGGAAUCCAGGGUACCACCUCUCGCAUCUUUCAUCCCACCCACCGCCCUUCCAGGCCUCUCCUGAUCUCUUCCAAUGGGCUGUUGCUGCAGUGGCUGGGAGCAACCACAGACACACUGCCAACUGGAUGGGCACCAUCCCCUCGUAGGACCUCUGGGGCGGGAGCCAUGGUGCCAGUUUUUUAAGAAGGAAAGAAAAUGUCCUUGUGAAUGGUUCUGAUCUGCCAGUUCCUGAUGAACGUGUCCUCGUUUGGGCAGAGCUGGGGACCCUGCACAUGUUUGCAUUCUCGUAUUCCUGUCUGCAUCAGUUACUAGUGGUGGACAGCCUUUGUAGGGGUCCCAAAGAUUCACGCCUCUUGCACUCUGCAGGAUGUUUGACAAUCAUGGCGCUAACCCACGAAAUGCCAGAGGUUCUAGUCAUUGUGACAACCCAACCUGCACCCCCCUUACAAAUGCCCUUUGGGAUGGGGCAGUGCUGUGCCGGCUGAGAACCACUGCACCAGAGGAUCUUUUCCAGCCAUGGGCAAGGCCCCCCAGUACAUAGUUCUAGGUCCUUCUGGCCCUGCUAUGCGAGAUGCCACCAUAACAUGGCUUGAUGAGUGGUGCUAGGUCCACGCCCAGGAUCCGAACCAGUGAAACCCUGGACCGCCGACGUGGAGCGUGUGAACUUAACCACUUGGCCACGGGGCCGGCCCAGCUCCUGGUAUUCUUAAGGAGAGUGUUAGAUGGUUGGCAGGCACGUGAAUGGGUAAACCGAUGUCUUGUAUGUAAAAUCAACUAGGUAAACAGGAUAAACAUUUAACACCCA